RNAcentral lists this ribosomal RNA (118 nucleotides) under Ipomoea nil (Japanese morning glory). Lineage: Eukaryota; Viridiplantae; Streptophyta; Magnoliopsida; Solanales; Convolvulaceae. The record is from RNAcentral.
GGAUGCGAUCAUACCAGCACUAAUGCACCGGAUCCCAUCAGAACUCCGAAGUUAAGCGUGCUUGGGCGAGAGUAGUACUAGGAUGGUGACCCCCUGGGAAGUCCUCGUGUUGCAUCCC